This 788-nucleotide long non-coding RNA is filed under the name Rhagoletis pomonella (apple maggot). Its description in RNAcentral is "uncharacterized LOC118746409, transcript variant X3". Lineage: Eukaryota; Metazoa; Arthropoda; Insecta; Diptera; Tephritidae. The record is from RNAcentral.
GCAGUAGCAAAAGUGACGGCUCUAAUCAGCAGUAUUCGUUGAAACAAUUAUUAGCAAUCAAUAUGCAGACCAACAAAAAAAACCAGUAAAAAAGAACAAAGUAUGGCAACAGCAAAGUAAACGUGUAUGCAGAAGCAGUGGCGAGUGAGCACUUUUCUAUGUACCAUAAGUGCGAGCGGGACGAUGCAUUAAUGCCCCAACUCACUCUGAUCUAUAAAGCAGCAAAUGCAUUUGAGUUUUACGUGAGUGCGUUGCACCGCCUACAUUUCAGUGUUGAGUGAACAGAAAUACGGCGACUUUUAGCUUACGCGUUUUUUUUAUGCUAACGGAACGUUACGUCGCCGCCACCAUAGAUAAACAAGCACAGGGGUGGACAUACGAGUCUAUACAGUAAUAUAGAUAUGUAUAUAUGUACAACCCCCAGUAAGUUUUGUAUGCUGCAGUAGCUGUGUGGAAAAGGUUGCGUUCCUUGGCCUAUGUAGCAGAGAUCAGCACCGUUGACGCCGACUGCGCUACUUUGGGGAGUGUAUACAUAAUAUAUUGGAGGCUGGUACUUCCGUCGCUAUCGCAACAUUAAAACAGUGCCGUCUGGUGAACCUUGAAUAAAUGUAAAAAAAAACAAUGCAAAUACAAGUUAUAAAAUAGUGGACAAAAUAUUAAGAAGGCAUCAGCAUAUAAACGACCGAAACAGACAGCUUUCGAUCUUGGGCAUCUGUCUGGAUACUCCUGGGAGCACUGAACAAAAAAUAUUUGGGAUGUUAAUUUAUGCAAAAUACGAUGGCAGGCAC